GAGGGGAGGGAGGCAGCGCGCACCCGCGCGUGCGUGAGCUGGCGCGCGAGAAAGGGCCCGGUCGCGCCGAGGCUCGAGCGGCCGUCGCCAUUUUGUAGGGUUCUCUCUGACGCGGGAGCCGCCGCCGCCGCCGCCGCCACCGGGAGGCUCUUGUCAGGAUGGUGAAGCUUUUCAUCGGAAACCUGCCCCGGGAGGCCACAGAGCAGGAGAUCCGCUCACUCUUCGAGCAGUAUGGGAAGGUGCUGGAAUGUGACAUCAUUAAGAACUAUGGCUUUGUGCACAUAGAGGACAAGACGGCGGCUGAGGAUGCCAUUCGCAACCUGCACCACUACAAGCUGCACGGGGUGAACAUCAACGUGGAAGCCAGCAAGAAUAAGAGCAAAGCUUCAACCAAGUUGCAUGUGGGCAACAUCAGCCCCACCUGUACCAACCAAGAGCUUCGGGCCAAGUUUGAGGAGUACGGUCCAGUCAUCGAAUGUGACAUCGUGAAAGAUUAUGCCUUCGUACAUAUGGAGCGGGCGGAGGACGCAGUGGAGGCCAUCAGGGGCCUUGACAACACAGAGUUUCAAGGCAAAAGAAUGCACGUGCAGUUGUCCACAAGCCGACUUCGGACUGCCCCUGGGAUGGGAGACCAGAGUGGCUGCUAUCGGUGUGGGAAAGAGGGGCACUGGUCCAAAGAGUGCCCAGUGGAUCGUACAGGUCGUGUGGCGGACUUUACCGAGCAGUAUAACGAACAGUAUGGAGCAGUGCGCACGCCCUACACCAUGGGCUACGGGGAAUCCAUGUAUUACAACGAUGCAUAUGGAGCACUCGACUACUAUAAGCGUUACCGGGUCCGCUCUUAUGAGGCAGUGGCAGCGGCGGCGGCAGCUUCCGCGUACAACUACGCAGAGCAGACCAUGUCCCAUCUGCCUCAAGUCCAGAGCACAGCUGUGACCAGUCACCUCAACUCCACUUCUGUAGAUCCCUAUGACAGACACCUGUUGCCGAACUCAGGUGCCGCUGCCACCUCAGCUGCUAUGGCUGCUGCCGCUGCCACCACUUCCUCCUAUUAUGGAAGGGACAGGAGCCCCCUGCGUCGUGCUGCAGCUGUGCUCCCCACAGUUGGAGAGGGCUACGGUUAUGGGCCAGAGAGUGAGCUGUCUCAGGCUUCAGCAGCUGCACGGAAUUCUCUCUAUGACAUGGCCCGGUAUGAGCGGGAGCCGUAUGUGGACCGAGCACGGUACUCAGCCUUUUAAAAACUGGAGGUGUGAACCUCAAAUGGACUGAAUAACCCUGAGUUGGUUGCAGUCCCAGGAGCCUGAUGUUAAUGAGGCUGCCAGGAUGAAAUACUCCAGAACUGUUGGGGAUCCAAAUUCGGGUCUCACCCUAGCAGAACUGAUUCAAGAACGUCACAACUUUUGAAGUCGAUUGGCACAGAUCAAGACCAAGAUUUGGCCCUUUGUCUGUAAUAAGUAGAGGAACUUGGUGUGAGUUAACUUUUUUUUUCCCCCAGCCAUUGGUGUCUGGAGUUCCCAUCAUCAAUGGAAGAAUUAGAGAAUUUUAGGAUUUCUUCUUUUGAUUUGGACGGGACCAGGGCCCUUGUACUCGGAGCCAAGCUGCUCUCCAGGCAUUGUGUAAGCCUCUUGUGUUGUGCUCUCUUUCAGGUAGGAUAAUUGCGGACUGAACCCUCGGGCUGCGGUCAUAUAUGAGAACUUGCUCCGCGCGGUCCCCUUUGCCGGGAUGUUUCCAUUGCUUCAUGUUUCAGUAAACAAAGGAAUUUGUGACCAACUAUGUUUUCUUUCUUAAUUUAAUUCUUCUCAGUUGACUUUUCUUUCCUCCUGAGACUAGUCUCUGUAGCCUUUCACUCUAUUCCUUAUAUUCCCAGCCUCUGAGCAGCCCUAGGUAAGGAUUAUGCUGGCAUCCCCUUUUUCCUGUACAGUGGAACCCCUCAUAUCUUGCUUUCCUUAGGAGUUGAACCCUUCUCCCUGUCUACAGCAACAUCUCCUUUCCCUUUAAAAACUGACCAUGUAGUGGCAAGCAACCUUUUACUCUUCUCUGUUAGCUCUGGACCCUAACAUUGAAGCUAAUCUUCUGAAAUUGCUAGGACCAGUGGGGU
RNA transcript from Equus quagga, 2098 nucleotides. It is a transcript of the gene named RNA-binding protein 4B, with no coding region annotated. NCBI's taxonomy places the organism in Eukaryota, Metazoa, Chordata, Mammalia, Perissodactyla, Equidae. The record is from RefSeq and is a predicted model, not a curated record. The transcript has 5 exons.